Molecule: ribosomal RNA, 615 nt
Filed under: Leuconostoc sp.
Lineage: Bacteria; Bacillati; Bacillota; Bacilli; Lactobacillales; Lactobacillaceae
Description: bacterial SSU rRNA
Rfam family: Bacterial small subunit ribosomal RNA
Source: RNAcentral
UGCUUGCACCUUUCAAGCGAGUGGCGAACGGGUGAGUAACACGUGGAUAACCUGCCUCAAGGCUGGGGAUAACAUUUGGAAACAGAUGCUAAUACCGAAUAAAACUUAGUAUCGCAUGAUAUCAAGUUAAAAGGCGCUACGGCGUCACCUAGAGAUGGAUCCGCGGUGCAUUAGUUAGUUGGUGGGGUAAAGGCUUACCAAGACGAUGAUGCAUAGCCGAGUUGAGAGACUGAUCGGCCACAUUGGGACUGAGACACGGCCCAAACUCCUACGGGAGGCUGCAGUAGGGAAUCUUCCACAAUGGGCGCAAGCCUGAUGGAGCAACGCCGCGUGUGUGAUGAAGGCUUUCGGGUCGUAAAGCACUGUUGUAUGGGAAGAAAUGCUAAAAUAGGGAAUGAUUUUAGUUUGACGGUACCAUACCAGAAAGGGACGGCUAAAUACGUGCCAGCAGCCGCGGUAAUACGUAUGUCCCGAGCGUUAUCCGGAUUUAUUGGGCGUAAAGCGAGCGCAGACGGUUGAUUAAGUCUGAUGUGAAAGCCCGGAGCUCAACUCCGGAAUGGCAUUGGAAACUGGUUAACUUGAGUGUUGUAGAGGUAAGUGGAACUCCAUGGGUAA